ACGGUCCGCGUCGACAUCGCUGGGUCUAGACCCGAAGCGAAGUGAGUCUACCCUAUGGCCAGGUUGAAGCGCGGGUAAGACCGCGUGGAGGACCGAACCCACCUAAGGUUGAAAACUGGGGGGGAUGAGCUGUGGGUAGGGGUAGAAAGGCCAAUCAAACUUCCGUGUAUAGUCUGGUUUCGUCCCCGAAAUGCAUUUAGGUGACUAGCGUCACGUGUUUACUUAGCCGGUAGGUAGAGCUACUUGGGAUGGCCCGGAUGGGGCCCCGACCGGGGUUACUGACGGUCAACGCCGAAACCUCCGAAUUGCCGGUAAGUAGAGAGCGUGGACAGUGACGACUGCGGGGGAUAAGCUACCGUAAGUCGAGAGGGAAACCAGCCCGAGGAGUCACCAGCUAAGGCCCCCUAAGCGUAGUAGCUAACGUGGGAAAAGGAUGGUGGAGUUGCUGUGACAACCAGGAGGUUUGGGCCUUAGAACGUCGAGUCCACCCGUUUAAAGAGUGCGUAAUAGCCUCUACUGGUUCAACGUUGAUUCGUGCGUCCGACAAGUCGUAAGCGGGUCGACGCGGCCG
RNAcentral lists this ribosomal RNA (571 nucleotides) under uncultured bacterium. Its description in RNAcentral is "bacterial LSU rRNA". It matches the Rfam family "Bacterial large subunit ribosomal RNA", at positions 682 to 1202 of the family's 2925-position model. The record is from RNAcentral.